UUCUUUUUGUUUGCUGCCUUCCGUAGAAGAUGUGGCUUGCUCAUGCUUGACUUCUGCCAUGGUUGUGAGGCCUCCCCAGCCAUGUGGAACUGUUUUCAGGUGCUGGUUCCAUGGCUCUUCCUGAGCCGAAAAUAAGGAAACUCCAUAGACCUUGUCCACUGGAACUCGUUCCCAUCUACCCUCCACUCUAUCCAGGGUGAUGGAUCUCUGCAGUAAGUGGAAGAGUUCUUCAUGGCCCCCAAGGUUAUAUCCAUCUAGAACUUCAGCACGUAAUUUCAUCUGGAAAUAGUGCCUUUGCGGAUAUAAGUUAGGUAAAACUGAAGAUGAGAUCAUACUGGAUUAGGAUGGGAUCUAAAUCCAAUGAAAAUGUCUUCAUAAAAAACAGGAAAGAACCCAUAGAAACACAAGGAAGAAGGUCAUGUGAAGAUGGAGGCAGAGAUUGGAGGGAUGCAGCCACCGGCCCAGGAAUGCCAGCAGCCACCCAGAAGCUGGAAGGAAAUGAGGGAUUCUCUCCUAGAACCUUUAGAGAGAACAUGGUCCUGUGAACAGCUUGAUUUUGGACUUGCCCAUAGCUUGUAUACUCUUACUUUGGAUACAAUUUUAUCCAAACUUGGCUAAACAGUUUCUCAGCCUAUGGAAAAUUUAAAAUGGAGAAGAUUCAACUCGAUUCUUACAGAUUCAAAGCAAGAAAAUGAUGGGAACAUAGGAGGAGACCAAGAAAGCCUAUAAAAAGCAAAAAUAUGAAGUGAACAUUGUGGUAGCUUUAAGAUGUUUAGUGUAGCUGCAGGCACCCUAUACACAUGAAAACCCCCAAGGGGAAUCCCCAUAUCACAGUGUAGUGUGAUAUUUGACAUUCGUGAUCAUCUAGAGAUGUACAGAAAAGGUGAAUCUGUGUUCUGUAUAUUCUGCCUAAGGCAAAGAAAUGUUUAGCUCUCUUUAAAAUAGUUCCAUAAUUUUUUCUAAAAAGCUUUGCUUGAAAACUGUAAGCUUCCCAUAUCUGGAGCAUUUCACUUUAAAUAUUUGGAUAAAUAUGUUAUCUUCUUACUUGGACAUUUCAUGUGUUUAGGGAUUGUCUUCUAAAUUCUUCCUAAUUCAUAUAGCUGCUAACACUUCCCGCAGAGCUAAACCAUUACAGAUAUGAAAUAAAGACCUAUUGAUUUGACUUACUUUUACUUGUAAAACCUUCUGAGUGUUAUAACCUCAUUUAAUCUUUCAGCAUUUACAGUUUCAAGAGUUUGUGUCACAAUUAGAAGAAUUCAGCUGCACCUCCAAGUGACAGCAGUUGCUCUGGUUGGUGGGUGAUCUCAGGAGGCUUGAGAAUUGCUUUGUCUGUGAGGGAAGUAAGACAUUUUCAGAGCCCCACUUUAGAAGGUGUGAACUGGCUAGAUAAUGAACCCCAGGGCUAACGCUGCUAUAGCAGUGGGAAGGAGGUGAUGGGUUUUCAGUUUGGACCUCAAACAUCAAUACCCUCCUGGUACGGGGAGGAACAGAGUCCCUCCUUUACUUCUCCAUUAGAAAGAAUGAGAUGGCAAGACAAUGAAACAGGCAAAGUGAACAGAGAUGCAAGACAAAAUUCAGGUGAGAGAGCCAGAGCAUCACUCAGCCAUUCCUGACAUGUAAAACAGGCAACUAGAAAUUUGCAGAAAGGAAGCGAAGUCUCCAUAAAGAUGUUUUUAAAGUGAGCUUGAAGUAUUUGGAGACAAUUCAGUGUUACAUAAAAUCUGCAAAUCUCUGGAUAAAGAAGCAGAGAUCCCAGCAUGGGACAAAUGGAGCCUCAAAAGUGGGAAGAAGACAGAGAAGACCAGGGCAGAAUGCAUCUCUUCCUUUCUCUUGGCUUUCCUGGAUAAGGACUGCAUCAUUCCUGUGGAAGGACAGGCCAUCAGCUCCGAAACACUGUAUGUAUUUUCCAGUAUAUACUGCUAGCUGUGUGAUGUUGGGAAAAUUUGUUACCCUGUCUAACCCCCACUUCCCUCAUCUGUAAAAUGGAAAUAAUGAUAGUACCUACCUAUCUCAUAGGUGGCAACUACAAGGGGCAGCACACUCAGGGAAUUAAGGAAGUUUCAGUGAACAUCAACUUUAUGAACACAGUGUUCAUAAAGGCAGGUCAGUGCAGUGGUUUGGGAGCCAGGAGAAGCACGUGGGCCGGAGUGUGCCUGCAGGAGACAAGGUCAGAGAUGUUGCUAAUAAUGGAGAAUAAAGGAUGCAUUCUCAUUACUGA
Molecule: long non-coding RNA, 2218 nt
Filed under: Homo sapiens (human)
Lineage: Eukaryota; Metazoa; Chordata; Mammalia; Primates; Hominidae
Description: non-protein coding ARLNC1:11
Source: RNAcentral